UACAGAGGUCUCAAGCGUUGUUCGGAUUCAUUGGGCGUAAAGGGUGUGUAGGUGGCGCCGUGAGUCGGGUGUGAAAUUUCGGAGCUUAACUCCGAAACUGCAUUCGAUACUGCGGUGCUUGAGGACUGGAGAGGAGACUGGAAUUCAUGGUGUAGCAGUGAAAUGCGUAGAGAUCAUGAGGAAGACCAGUGGCGAAGGCGGGUCUCUGGACAGUUCCUGACACUGAGACACGAAGGCCAGGGAGCAAACGGG
RNAcentral lists this ribosomal RNA (252 nucleotides) under uncultured bacterium. RNAcentral describes it as "partial 16S ribosomal RNA". It matches the Rfam family "Bacterial small subunit ribosomal RNA", at positions 524 to 776 of the family's 1533-position model. The record is from RNAcentral.